UACGAAGGGGGCUAGCGUUGCUCGGAAUCACUGGGCGUAAAGCGCACGUAGGCGGCUUUUUAAGUCAGGGGUGAAAUCCUGGAGCUCAACUCCAGAACUGCCUUUGAUACUGGGAAGCUUGAGUCCGGAAGAGGUGAGUGGAACUCCGAGUGUAGAGGUGAAAUUCGUAGAUAUUCGGAAGAACACCAGUGGCGAAGGCGGCUCACUGGCUCAUUACUGACGCUCAGGCGCGAUAGCGUGGGGAUCAAACAGG
This 253-nucleotide ribosomal RNA is filed under the name uncultured bacterium. RNAcentral describes it as "partial 16S ribosomal RNA". It matches the Rfam family "Bacterial small subunit ribosomal RNA", at positions 524 to 776 of the family's 1533-position model. The record is from RNAcentral.